Molecule: long non-coding RNA, 698 nt
Organism: Fundulus heteroclitus (mummichog)
Lineage: Eukaryota; Metazoa; Chordata; Actinopteri; Cyprinodontiformes; Fundulidae
Exons: 3
Source: RefSeq, a predicted model, not a curated record
AGCCACCCCCACCUCUACUCCUUCCCGAUCCAUCACUGACAGGUAAUGUAUUUUGCAGUCACAUCACCGUCGGAGGAAGUCAAAAAGCAUGCGUCUGUAUAGUUGUACGCCGUCCAGACAGGUGUUUGAGACCUUGUCUGGGCCUCGGCAGCUGGGCUCCUGUAACCGUGCCCGUCUCUGCGAGGGGUUGGCUAGAGUGACUGACUUGGCCGAGGUGCGGAGGCGGCUGUCUUUCAACCACUGAUCCCUGAGAACUACUCAUCUGAUCAGCCUGGAUCUGCGCUUCGCGGCUGCCGGGGUCACACAACCCAACCCCGGGGUCAAGCAGCUAAUUACAGAUCCCUGAGUCCUCCGUCUCUGUCACCGCUGGGAAAAUGGCGAAGGUGGGGAGAGAAGAGGCCUGAGAGGAGCGAGGAUAAAAGGAGAACAUAUCGACUUAGACAUCAAAAGGUCAACACUGAGGGUAAACCAAGCUGGUUUCUUUCAGUCUUCCUGUACCCACUGACUGAGCUGUGGGUUUAAAGGAUGCUGCAUGCCGGCAACAAAGAGCGACAGUGCAGUUUGGGAAAAGCUAUUGGAUGAGAGGUGAUAAUAACCUGCUGAUGAAACCAGAAAAGAAAAUAUUUUCCAAGACGAUCAUGUCUGCAUUACAGAAAAACAGUGUGUAUGUGUGUGUGUGUGUGGGGGGGGGGGGUAAA